Molecule: ribosomal RNA, 253 nt
Filed under: uncultured bacterium
Lineage: Bacteria
Description: partial 16S ribosomal RNA
Rfam family: Bacterial small subunit ribosomal RNA
Source: RNAcentral
GACGAGCCACACGAACGUUAUUCGGAAUUACUGGGCUUAAAGGGUGCGUAGGCGGUGCGGAAAGUUGGGUGUGAAAUCCCUCGGCUCAACCGAGGAACUGCGCCCAAAACUACCGCACUUGAGGAAGAUAGAGGUGAGCGGAACUCACGGUGGAGCGGUGAAAUGCGUUGAUAUCGUGAGGAACACCCGUGGCGAAAGCGGCUCACUGGGUCCUUUCUGACGCUGAUGCACGAAAGCUAGGGGAGCAAACGGG